AUUGAACGCUGGCGGCAGGCUUAACACAUGCAAGUCGAGCGGGGUGAUGGUGCUUGCACUAUCACUUAGCGGCGGACGGGUGAGUAAUGCUUAGGAAUCUGCCUAUUAGUGGGGGACAACAUCUCGAAAGGGAUGCUAAUACCGCAUACGUCCUACGGGAGAAAGCAGGGGAUCACUUGUGACCUUGCGCUAAUAGAUGAGCCUAAGUCGGAUUAGCUAGUUGGUGGGGUAAAGGCCUACCAAGGCGACGAUCAGUAGCUGGUCUGAGAGGACGAUCAGCCACACUGGGACUGAGACACGGCCCAGACUCCUACGGGAGGCAGCAGUGGGGAAUUUUGGACAAUGGGCGAGAGACUGAUCCAGCAAUGCCGCGUGUGUGAAGAAGGCCUUCGGGUUGUAAAGCACUUUUGUCCGGAAAGAAAUGGCUCUGGUUAAUACCUGGGGUCGAUGACGGUACCGGAAGAAUAAGGACCGGCUAACUACGUGCCAGCAGCCGCGGUAA
This 502-nucleotide ribosomal RNA is filed under the name uncultured bacterium. RNAcentral's name for it is "partial 16S ribosomal RNA". It matches the Rfam family "Bacterial small subunit ribosomal RNA", at positions 30 to 523 of the family's 1533-position model. The record is from RNAcentral.